This 226-nucleotide long non-coding RNA is filed under the name Elaeis guineensis (African oil palm). RNAcentral's name for it is "long non-coding RNA (EGUI_LNC004579)". Lineage: Eukaryota; Viridiplantae; Streptophyta; Magnoliopsida; Arecales; Arecaceae. The record is from RNAcentral.
CUCCUCAUCUUCAAAAGUAUCUCAAUGAAGUUGACAACAAUUGUGAUAGAGAGAAUAAAGAAAAGCAACAUGAAGUAAACAUAAGGUGGAGAAAAUAGAAAAAGAGAACGAAAAAAAUCAGAUGUAUAUUAACCUUACGACAAUUAUAUCAGAGUGAGUGUAUAAGUAUGCAUAUAAAGUAUCCUAAUGCACAAAGCUCUUGCCAUCAAAGGAGUAGGAGUAUGUA